RNAcentral lists this ribosomal RNA (254 nucleotides) under uncultured bacterium. RNAcentral describes it as "partial 16S ribosomal RNA". It matches the Rfam family "Bacterial small subunit ribosomal RNA", at positions 524 to 776 of the family's 1533-position model. The record is from RNAcentral.
UACGUAGGCAGCAAGCGUUGUUCGGAGUUACUGGGCGUAAAGGGUGCGUAGGCGGUCCUAUAAGUAUGGUGUGAAAUCUCCCGGCUUAACUGGGAGGGUGCGCUAUAGACUGUGGGACUAGAGUGUGGGGAGAGGAAAGUGGAAUUCCUGGUGUAGCGGUGAAAUGCGUAGAUAUCAGGAGGAACACCUGCGGCGAAGGCGGGUUGCUGGGCUGACACUGACGCUGAUGCGCGAAAGCUAGGGGAGCGAACAGG